GCCGAAUGGGAUGUGAGAAAAUGGAAGAAUGAGAUAGACAAAGAAGUGAAAUGUGUGGGACUGAAUGAAUGGAAGAAUGAGAUGGAAAGAAAGAAGACCCUGGAAUGGUACAAGGAGAAAGAGGCCCCGAGGUAUGAAAGGUGGUAUGAUGGAAGCCUGGGCGGUGAUCUUCUCUUCCGAGCGAGGGCACAGUGUAUGGAUGUGAAUGCAAGGAGUUACAGGUGGUCUGAGUCCCGCAGCAAAGUGUGCCAGAUGUGUGACAUGGGAGAGGAUGAGACGGUGGAACAUGUGGUGCUGGAGUGUGUGCAGUAUGCCAGAGACAGGAAUGAGAUGAUGCAAGUGAUACUGACUGAGUUAGGGCAUGAUAGGAAUGAAAGAGUGGAGAAGACAGGAAAGGAAUGGAUGGUGUUGUUGCUGGGACUGGGUAGAGAGGCCAAUGAAAGGAUGAUUGAGGCGGUGAAAGAGUUUCUGGAGAGAAUGUGGCGUGCCAGGUGUAUGAACAAUUAGGAUAGAGGAUGCUGUUCGUUUCUCUUUUUUUUUUUCCCCCUUUCUACAGGAGUUGCCGAUCCAAAGGCCUGGCUCAGAAGUGAUCCUGUGCCACCUGUACCAUCAAGAUCAAGAUCAAGAUGUUGCCUUGUUUACCUUUGUCACAGUGGUCCUCCUCCUGCUGUCCGUGUGUCUGUGUGUGUGUGUCUUUUGAAGGCACCUCUCAGGUCGCUGCUGUCUCCUCUGCCUGUAGCAGAAUAGGAGAGCAUCUAGCUCUCGUUCCCACAGUCAACAACGGCCCACCCUUGAGAGGAGUUGGACGUAUGGUCAGGAGGCAGACACAUGGAAGAGACUGGGUGGCAGGGAAGUGAAAUGUGUGGGACUGAAUGAAUGGAAGAAUGAGAUAGAAAGAAAGAAGACCUUGGAAUGGUACAAGGAGAAAGAGGCCCCGAGGUAUGAAAGGUGGUAUGAUGGAAGCCUGGGCGGUGAUCUUCUCUUCCGAGCGAGGGCACAGUGUAUGGAUGUGAAUGCAAGGAGUUACAGGUGGUCUGAGUCCAGCAGCAAAGUGUGCCAGAUGUGUGACAUGGGAGAGGAUGAGACGGUGGAACAUGUGGUGCUGGAGUGUGUGAAGUAUGCCAGAGACAGGAAUGAGAUGAUGCAAGUGAUACUGACUGAGUUAGGGCAUGAUAGGAAUGAAAGAGUGGAGAAGACAGGAAAGGAAUGGAUGGUGUUGUUGCUGGGACUGUGUAGAGAGGCGAAUGAAAGGAUGAUUGAGGCGGUGAAAGAGUUUCUGGAGAGAAUGUGGCGUGCCAGGUGUAUGAACAAUUAGGAUAGAGGAUGCUGUUCGUUUCUCUUUUUUUCCCCUUUCUACAGGAGUUGCCGAUCCAAAGGCCUGGCUCAGGAGUAAUCCUGUGCCACCUGCACCAUCAAGAUCAAGAUCGAGAGAGAGAGAAAAAGAGAGGCCAUGUUUGAGCUAGUUCACUUAUCUGUGGUUCCUCUCCCCCUCUCUCUCUCUAAUUAGAGCGAAAAUGGCAGCGGAGGAGCUCAAGGAUGAAGCCAACGACUAUUUGAAAAAAUUAAGAAAAUUGAAGCCUUCUCUCAGACAUGAACAAAGAAGAGCAAUUCUUGACAAACAAACAAACAAACAAGGACAGCGUUGAGUCUCGCAGGUCACGCCAGCCUCUCGGAAACUGUUGCUUGCUUCACCUGGCAAUUGUGAACCACCAAGCAAAAACUGAGCCACCCUAUUGAUCGACAGGGGAUCACCAUCAGCUCUCCCAUUGGCCCAGAGCUUCGUGGAUUGUGAUUGGACGGCUGGCUGGCUGACCUGACUUGACCUGACCUCAACUGAGCCAACAUGAUUUACGUUUUCCUCGUUGACACUGGCACCAUGAUGACCUUUGACAUGAACCUGGCACUAGAGAGUGUUGAGGUGGUGAAGGGUGCAAUACACAAUGUUGUCAAGGUGCCCCCAGACAAGCAGGCACAGGUGGAGGGGUGCCUCAACAUGCCAGCCACCUACAACAGUGUGGUGGCGCGGACACAGUUAGCACAGCAGUUUUACGAGCACGCCAGUGAGGUCACCAGAACGUGCCGCCAGCUUGUUCACAACCAGCAUCUGCAGCAACAAGGCUGGGCAGUAGUGUUGGGCAACUUGGAAGACGUUGUGGCAGCCUUCAGAGCAAGACAUGAUGCAUUCCAGCAAAACUUUGUAAUCUCAGUGGCUGGGAGGAGAAGGUCGCCCUGCUUCACUUUUUUGAAGAGGACCUGAAGCUACUGGCAAGGAUUCCAGUCUUCCCUGAACUCUUGGGGAAGACACAAGAGGAAGAGGAAGAGGAGGAAGCUGGGAAGAAGAGGAGGACAAGCACAGCACAGAAGAAAGAGGAGGAGGAAAAGAAGGAAGAGGAGGAGGAGGAGGAGGAAGAAGAGGAAGAGCAUGAGAAGGAGAAGAGGGCAGGAGGAGAAGGAGAAAAAAGAGAAAUGAGUUAAGUGUCACUGCUGGACUGGAUCAGCGCCAAGGACAGCCAAAGUGAUGUCAGACAUUGCCCAACUCUGCUGCAGAGGACUGGCCCAGCUGUGUGUGUGUGUGUGUGUGUGUGUGUGUGUGUGUGUGUGUGUGUGUGCACCAGGAUGUCAGGUAUUCACACCCAAUUCUUGCUGCAUAAUUGUGUUUCUGCAGGAUUGAAUCAAGUUUGUAAUCUUGCAUUGUUUAACAAGUUGAGUUCUCAAAUUUUUUUUUAAUCUGGCUCCCCCUCCCCCUGUGUUAGAAUAUUGCACGUUUCCAAGGCCACAGGGACGCUUAGACGGGUUCUCAAGUGUUUCCUGUCACUAAUGCAGAAAUGUUGUUAAUCUGUCACUGCAACUGUAAAAACACCCUUGAAAAUCCGCGUCACUUCAACUAAAGCCUUUUAAAAGAACGUUUUUCCUGUCAGCACUGCAGAAAUGUUGUUAAUCUGUCACUGCAACUGUAAAAACACCCUUGAAAACCCGCGUCACUUCAACUAAAGCCUUUUAAAAGAGUGUUUCUCCAGUCAGUACUGCAGAAAUGUUGUUAAUCUGUCACUGCAACUGUAAAAACACCCUUGAAAACCUGCAUCACUUCAACUACAGCCUUUUAAAAGUGUUUCUCCUGUCAGUAAUGCAAAAAUGUUAAUAUAUCACUGCAACUGUAAAAACACUCUUGAAAACCCACGUCACUUUAACUAGAGCCUUUUAAAACAAUGUUUCUCCUGUCAGUAAUGCAGAAAUGUUGUUAAUCUGUCACUGCAACUGUAAAAACACCCUUGAAAACCUGCAUUAUUUCAGCUACAGCCUUUUAAGAGUGUUUCUCCUGUGAGUAAUGCAGAAAUGUUGAUCUGUCACUGUAACCGUAAAAACACCCUUGAAAACCCACAUCACUUCAACUCCAGCCAUUUAAAAGAAUGUUUCCCCUGUCAGUAAUGCAGAAAUGUUGUUAAUCUGUCACUACAACUGUAAAAACACCCUUGAAAACCCACUUGACUUGAACUAAACACACACACACAAACACACAGCACUAGUACUGCUGUUGCCACACAGAUCAGUGAGGGGCUGCUGGAACAAGUGGGGCAAGAGGUCAGUGCUGUGCUUCAAGAGGCAGACCAGCCACAGAUGAAUGCUUGACUCACCAUACUCAUCAUCAACCUGUGUCCUGUACUUUGUGUAUAAUAUCUUUGAGUCUUGAAUCUAAUACACUCCUCACUGUUCACUUGUACAUGUUGAGCCUCACUACAUUCACGCAGGUCGGAACAAAAUUAAGUUUGUCCAUUUUGUGUGUCCAUUCUUUAUUAUGGCCAUUGUACAAGAUGCAGCGUUUGUGUAUGUUAUGCUGUGUGUGUGUGUGUGUGUGUGUGUGUGUGUGUGUGUGUGUGUUUGUGAGGGGCUCACUUAUUGGUGAGGGGCUGUGGGGAGUCACUGGGUUUGUAAACAUACUGUGGGGGGACAUACUGUGGCGCUGUGGCCUGAGGUGAGGUGAGGUGAGAGAGAGAGAGAGAGAGAGAGAGAGAGAGAGAGAGAGAGAGAGAGAGAGAGAGAGAGAGAGAGAGAGAGGGGGGGGGGGGGCAGCAUGAGUGAAACAAAGCAGAUGUUGUUGAUUGUUGAUGAUGCAGGGGAGAGGUGUUGUUGUUAUUCAGUGUUCUUCAUUGCACGAGAUGUUGUUGUUGUUGUUGUUGUUGUUGUUGUUGUUAUUGACUGGCAACCAAGCCUGGCUGGCGUGGGCCUUGUCAUGUGGCCCACAGGUAAUUCUUAGUGGUCAGUCUAUCGGUGAGUACAGCUGAGCGCUGCCUGAUUGCACGAGAGGUAUUGUUCAUAGUUGUUCAUUGUAGGUGAGGGAAGACACAGUAUGUUGAGGGAAGGCAGCAGCUGUGGAGGAGUGAACAGCUGCACCACUGACAGCAGCAGCAGCAGCAGCAGCAGCAGCAGCAGCAGCAGCACUGCUGAAUACUACUACUGCCACUACUAAGUACUGCUGAUGUUUUUCUCCUCCUCCCAGCACAGCAGCAGACUCGGGUACUGUUACAGCUCUGCUCCUUCCUACAGGACACGUUCCCAUCACCUUCACGUCCUGGACACGUGCACAAACUUGUGCCUGGGCAGUCUCACUGCAGCAACUGCCAGUGCUGUGGCUGGGUGGCAGGAGGCAGGGACAAGCUGGCCACCCUCUCUGUCACUACCUGCUGGGGAAAGACCACCAUUAUCAUCAUCAUCUUGGUUUUCCUUUUUUGUUUUCUUUCACAAUUUACAAGGAAUAUUAACAGUUUGUUUUGUUAGUGUUGUCUGUUUGUUAUUAAAUGAUGUGUUGAUUGUGUUGUUGUUGUUUAUGUGUUAGUUGUUGUUGUGUUUUGUAUGUGUGACUGAUGAAUAAAAUAAAGGCAGUCGUGUCACACU
Scylla paramamosain (green mud crab) is the source of this 4890-nucleotide long non-coding RNA. RefSeq lists it as uncharacterized. The record is from RefSeq and is a predicted model, not a curated record. The transcript has 10 exons. Lineage: Eukaryota; Metazoa; Arthropoda; Malacostraca; Decapoda; Portunidae.